This 2344-nucleotide ribosomal RNA is filed under the name seawater metagenome. Its description in RNAcentral is "bacterial LSU rRNA". It matches the Rfam family "Bacterial large subunit ribosomal RNA", at positions 1 to 2351 of the family's 2925-position model. The record is from RNAcentral.
UUCCGAUCUGGUGGAUGCCUUGGCACUAGGAGCCGAAGAAGGACGGCACUAACACCGAUAUGCUUCGGGGAGCUGUAAGUGAGCUGUGAUCCGGAGAUUUCCGAAUGGGGGAACCCACUGCCUUUAAUCGGGCAGUAUCCAUGUGUGAAUUCAUAGCACAUGAGAAGGCAGACCCAGGGAACUGAAACAUCUAAGUACCUGGAGGAAGAGAAAGCAAAUGCGAUUCCCUGAGUAGCGGCGAGCGAAACGGGAUCAGCCCAAACCAAGAGGCUUGCCUCUUGGGGUUGUAGGACACUCUAUACGGAGUUACAAAAGGCAGGAUUAGGCGAAGCGACCUGGAACGGUCCGCCGCAGCGGGUAAUAGCCCCGUAGCCGAAAACCCUGCCCCUCCAGAGUGGAUCCUGAGUACGGCGGAACACGUGAAAUUCCGUCGGAAUCCGGGAGGACCAUCUCCCAAGGCUAAAUACUUCCUAGUGACCGAUAGUGAACCAGUACCGUGAGGGAAAGGUGAAAAGCACCCCGGAAGGGGAGUGAAAUAGAUCCUGAAACCGUGUGCCUACAAGUAGUCAAAGCCCGUUCAUGGGUGAUGGCGUGCCUUUUGUAGAAUGAACCGGCGAGUUACGAUUGCAUGCAAGGUUAAGCCGAGAAGGCGGAGCCGCAGCGAAAGCGAGUCUGAAUAGGGCGACAGAGUAUGCAGUUGUAGACCCGAAACCAGGUGAUCUACCCAUGUCCAGGGUGAAGGUAAGGUAACACUUACUGGAGGCCCGAACCCACGCACGUUGAAAAGUGCGGGGAUGAGGUGUGGGUAGCGGAGAAAUUCCAAUCGAACCUGGAGAUAGCUGGUUCUCUCCGAAAUAGCUUUAGGGCUAGCCUCAAGAAGAGAAUCCUGGAGGUAGAGCACUGUUUGGACUAGGGGCCCAUCCCGGGUUACCGAAUUCAGACAAACUCCGAAUGCCAGUGAUUUAUACUUGGGAGUCAGACUGCGAGUGAUAAGAUCCGUAGUCAAGAGGGAAACAGCCCAGACCACCAGCUAAGGUCCCCAAAUAUCCGUUAAGUGGAAAAGGAUGUGGCGUUGCUUAGACAACCAGGAUGUUGGCUUAGAAGCAGCCAUCAUUUAAAGAGUGCGUAAUAGCUCACUGGUCGAGUGACACUGCGCCGAAAAUGUACCGGGGCUAAACGGAUUACCGAAGCUGUGGAUGGACAUCGUAGAUGUCCGUGGUAGGAGAGCGUUCUAAGGGCGUUGAAGUCAGACCGGAAGGACUGGUGGAGCGCUUAGAAGUGAGAAUGCCGGUAUGAGUAACGAAAGACGGGUGAGAAUCCCGUCCACCGAAUGCCUAAGGUUUCCUGAGGAAGGCUCGUCCGCUCAGGGUUAGUCGGGACCUAAGUCGAGGCCGAUAGGCGUAGACGAUGGACAACAGGUUGAUAUUCCUGUACCACCUCCCCGCCGUUUGAGCAAUGGGGGGACGCAGAAGGAUAAGGAGAGCGUGCCGUUGGUUGUGCACGUCCAAGCAGUGAGGCGUGGAAUGAGGCAAAUCCCAUUCCUGAUACGUUGAGCUGUGAUGGCGAGAGGACUUGUCCUCGAGUCCCUGAUUUCACACUGCCAAGAAAAGCCUCUAGCGAGGCGGGAGGUGCCCGUACCGCAAACCGACACAGGUAGGCGAGAAGAGAAUUCUAAGGUGAGCGAGUGAACUCUCGUUAAGGAACUCGGCAAAAUGACCCCGUAACUUCGGGAGAAGGGGUGCUCUGGUAGGGUGUAUAGCCCGAGAGAGCCGCAGUGAAUAGGCCCAGGCGACUGUUUAGCAAAAACACAGGUCUCUGCAAAACCGUAAGGUGACGUAUAGGGGCUGACGCCUGCCCGGUGCUGGAAGGUUAAGGGGAGUGCUUAGCGCAAGCGAAGGUGCGAACUGAAGCCCCAGUAAACGGCGGCCGUAACUAUAACGGUCCUAAGGUAGCGAAAUUCCUUGUCGGGUAAGUUCCGACCCGCACGAAAGGCGUAAUGAUUUGGGCACUGUCUCAACGAGAGACUCGGUGAAAUUUUAGUACCUGUGAAGAUGCAGGUUACCCGCGACAGGACGGAAAGACCCCAUGGAGCUUUACUGCAGUUUGAUAUUGAGUGUCUGUACCACAUGUACAGGAUAGGUAGGAGUCUAUGAGAUCGGGACGCCAGUUUCGAAGGAGACGUUGUUGGGAUACUACCCUUGUGUUAUGGCCACUCUAACCCAGAUAGGUGAUCCCUAUCGGAGACAGUGUCUGACGGGCAGUUUGACUGGGGCGGUCGCCUCCUAAAAGGUAACGGAGGCGCCCAAAGGUUCCCUCAGAAUGGUUGGAAAUCAUUCGCAGAGUG